GGAGGUUACCGGCGAGAUUGCUACGUUGCGCCUGUUCAGGGGCCAACAACGUGGUGAAAUUUAUUCCUGGACUAAACCUGUAGAUGCUUCGAGUGGAAUGUUCUCGGACGGGGGUUCGAUUCCCCCCGCCUCCACCA
This 137-nucleotide transfer RNA is filed under the name Desulfovibrio intestinalis. Its description in RNAcentral is "tRNA-Phe". It matches the Rfam family "transfer-messenger RNA", at positions 235 to 374 of the family's 374-position model. Rfam says of the family: Bacterial tmRNA, also known as 10Sa RNA or SsrA, is named for its dual tRNA and mRNA-like properties. Its role is to liberate the mRNA from a stalled ribosome. The record is from RNAcentral. Lineage: Bacteria; Pseudomonadati; Thermodesulfobacteriota; Desulfovibrionia; Desulfovibrionales; Desulfovibrionaceae.